UUAACGGAGAGUUUGAUUCUGGCUCAGAACGAACGCUGGCGGCGUGGAUAAGACAUGCAAGUCGAGCGAGAUUUUUUCCUGUAGCAAUACAGGGAAAAGUCUAGCGGCGAACGGGUGCUUAACACGUGGGCAAUCUGUCUUAAAGUGGGGGAUAGCUCGGCGAAAGCCGAAUUAAUACCGCAUGUGAUUAGAGUGGACAUCCAUUCGAAAUUAAAGUCGGGGCAACCUGACGCUUUUUGAGGAGCCCGCGGCCUAUCAGCUAGUUGGUGAGGUAACGGCUCACCAAGGCUUUGACGGGUAGCUGGUCUGAGAGGACGACCAGCCACACUGGGACUGAGACACGGCCCAGACACCUACGGGUGGCAGCAGUCGAGAAU
RNAcentral lists this ribosomal RNA (377 nucleotides) under Verrucomicrobiota bacterium. RNAcentral's name for it is "bacterial SSU rRNA". It matches the Rfam family "Bacterial small subunit ribosomal RNA", at positions 1 to 362 of the family's 1533-position model. The record is from RNAcentral. Lineage: Bacteria; Pseudomonadati; Verrucomicrobiota.